This 378-nucleotide ribosomal RNA is filed under the name uncultured eukaryote. RNAcentral describes it as "partial 18S ribosomal RNA". It matches the Rfam family "Eukaryotic small subunit ribosomal RNA", at positions 592 to 976 of the family's 1831-position model. The record is from RNAcentral.
CAAUAGCGUAUAUUUAAGUUGUUGCAGUUAAAAAGCUCGUAGUUGGAUUUCGGGUGGGACGCAGCGGUCUCGCAUUGCGUUUGUACUGCUGCAGCCCUCCUUCUUGCCGGGGGCGGCCUCUCGGACUUCACUGUCUGGGGGGCAGAAUCGGCGAUGUUACUUUGAGUAAAUUAGAGUGUUCAAAGCAAGCUUACGCUCUGAAUAUAAUAGCAUGGGAUAACACGACAGGACUCUGGCCUAUCGUGUUGGUCUAUAGGACCAGAGUAAUGAUUAAGAGGGACAGUCGGGGGCAUUCGUAUUCCGUUGUCAGAGGUGAAAUUCUUGGAUUUACGGAAGACGAACAUCUGCGAAAGCAUUUGCCAAGGAUGUUUUCAUUGA